GGCUAUGUUCAGACUGCAGGCAAAUGUGACCCAAAUCCGAUUUUUUUUGCCCAUAUGUGACCUGUAUCCGAUCUGUUAAAGACAGUUUGAACAACACAAAUCCGAUUUUUUCAAAUUCCACCCAAGCCAUUUUCAUAUGUGCAAAGGAGGUCCGAUUUUUUGCUCAUA
This is a long non-coding RNA of Sphaeramia orbicularis (orbiculate cardinalfish), 168 nucleotides long. RefSeq lists it as uncharacterized. NCBI's taxonomy places the organism in Eukaryota, Metazoa, Chordata, Actinopteri, Kurtiformes, Apogonidae. The record is from RefSeq and is a predicted model, not a curated record. The transcript is spliced from 3 exons.